GCGACUUAUAUUCUGUAGCAAGGUUAACCGUAUAGGGGAGCCGAAGGGAAACCGAGUCUUAAUUGGGCGUUAAGUUGCAGGGUAUAGACCCGAAACCCGGUGAUCUAGCCAUGGGCAGGUUGAAGGUUGGGUAACACUAACUGGAGGACCGAACCGACUAAUGUUGAAAAAUUAGCGGAUGACCUGUGGCUGGGGGUGAAAGGCCAAUCAAACCGGGAGAUAGCUGGUUCUCCCCGAAAGCUAUUUAGGUAGCGCCUCGUGAACUCAUCUCCGGGGGUAGAGCACUGUUUCGGCUAGGGGGCCAUCCCGGCUUACCAACCCGAUGCAAACUGCGAAUACCGGAGAAUGUUAUCACGGGAGACACACGGCGGGUGCUAACGUCCGUCGUGAAGAGGGAAACAACCCAGACCGCCAGCUAAGGUCCCAAAGUCAUGGUUAAGUGGGAAACGAUGUGGGAAGGCCCAGACAGCCAGGAUGUUGGCUUAGAAGCAGCCAUCAUUUAAAGAAAGCGUAAUAGCUCACUGGUCGAGUCGGCCUGCGCGGAAGAUGUAACGGGGCUAAACCAUGCACCGAAGCUGCGGCAGCGAACGUAUCACUUAAAACGAUUCAGAAGCUUACGAUUGACGGAGCGAAGCGACGUCAAAGCGUAUACAAAGUCGAGUCGG
This 665-nucleotide ribosomal RNA is filed under the name Salmonella enterica subsp. salamae. RNAcentral describes it as "partial 23S ribosomal RNA". It matches the Rfam family "Bacterial large subunit ribosomal RNA", at positions 623 to 1232 of the family's 2925-position model. The record is from RNAcentral. Lineage: Bacteria; Pseudomonadati; Pseudomonadota; Gammaproteobacteria; Enterobacterales; Enterobacteriaceae.